Molecule: long non-coding RNA, 425 nt
Filed under: Mytilus galloprovincialis (Mediterranean mussel)
Lineage: Eukaryota; Metazoa; Mollusca; Bivalvia; Mytilida; Mytilidae
Source: RNAcentral
GAUCUACAAAUAAGUCAACAUGACCAAAAUGGUCAGUUGACCACUUUAGGAGUAAUUGCCCUUUAUAGUCAAUUUUUAACCAUUUUUCGUAAAUCUCAGUAAUCUUUUAGAAAAAUCUUCUCCUCUGAAACUACUGGGCCAAAUUUAACCAAACUUAGCCAUAAUCAUCAUUGGGGUAUCUAGUUUAAAAAAUGUGUCCGGUGACCCGGCCAACCAACCAAGAUGGCCGCCAUGGCUAAAAAUAGAACAUAGGGGUAAAAUGCAGUUUUUGGCUUAUAACUCAAAAACCAAAGCAUUUAGAGCAAAUCUGACAGGUGUAAGAUUGUUCAUCAGGUCAAGAUCUAUCUGCCCUGAAAUUUUCAGAUGAAUCGGACAUUUCGUUGUUGGGUUGCUGCCCCUGAAAUGGUAAUUUUAAGGAAAUUUUG